UUGGAGUCAAGAUAACUCUUCCCUUUCUGAGCUGCUCAGAAUUAUUCAGAGAUACACAUUCAGUGGAAGGAUUUGGCCUCCAAAUUUUAAGGUUCAUGUGACUUCCUUCACAUCCUACCCUCAGUCUCACACCUUCCACCAGUGACAGUGUGAUUACCUGGAACAAGGGACCUGGGGACUGUCAGGGGACAGGUCUGUACCACGGUUUGUUUGUGUCAAAGUCCAAAAAAGCCUGACUGUGAGAGGGGAUCUCAGGACAGCACACUGGCAGGGAGCCAAGAGGAGCGUGUCAGUGGCUGUGUGUUGUAAACCAGCAGCAAUCCUUCUGCCACCGUGGAUUGCAAAAACAGCAGCACUGCCAAUGUUUAUGUGACUCUGGCAUCCUGACUGAGAAUCUUUUAGUUACAUCACAGGGGAGAAGCUGCAGCCCUGAGGGCAGCUGUAGAAAGUCCAGGUGCUGUGCUACUGCUGAUCCCUCCUGCUCCUAAGCCAGAGCCCUGCACCAUCUCUCAGUUCUUUCAUCUGUGGAAGGAGGGUUGUACCAGCUCACACUACCUACCAAGUCUGUCUGUCUGCAUCACUUUCACGUGUUUGUGAAUUGCUAAUGAAGCUACCUGGGCCUCAAAGCUUGCAAAGGGUUCCCUUUGACUGGGUUUGUACAACCUGAAUUAAUUCUCCUCUAGACGUGCCCUUCUCCUUUUGCCCAUUGCUUAAAAUGAAAGGAUUCCCUUGCUUGUGAGGGUGAGCUCUUAGAAGCCCAGCAACAACAUUGUCAGCCAAAGGUUAUCAGUUUUGCUUUGCAAAUUACUGAAAGGGAAACAGAAGAUGAAAACUUUACUUACAAACCACUUUUGUUUUCUGCCAUGGUGGUGCAGUGAUGCAUCUUGCCUUUCUGCUUAUCCAGGUUAGCUAUAGAUCCAGUAAACAUAUAUAGCUCCAAAGGACUAACAAGAGGUGUCCUCCAUUCUAAAACUGUUAGCAGAUAUUUCUUCCUAGUGAAAAGCAGUUAAUUGUUCACUUAUAUCCUAAAAUGAAAGGUUAAAUAACAAUAAUAAAUAAAUAAAUAA
Molecule: long non-coding RNA, 1067 nt
Filed under: Cyanistes caeruleus (blue tit)
Lineage: Eukaryota; Metazoa; Chordata; Aves; Passeriformes; Paridae
Description: lncRNA (ENSCCEG00000012805.1)
Source: RNAcentral